GAACUGAAGAGUUUGAUCAUGGCUCAGAUUGAACGCUGGCGGCAGGCCUAACACAUGCAAGUCGAGCGGAUGAAGGGAGCUUGCUCCUGGAUUCAGCGGCGGACGGGUGAGUAAUGCCUAGGAAUCUGCCUGGUAGUGGGGGAUAACGUCCGGAAACGGGCGCUAAUACCGCAUACGUCCUGAGGGAGAAAGUGGGGGAUCUUCGGACCUCACGCUAUCAGAUGAGCCUAGGUCGGAUUAGCUAGUUGGUGGGGUAAAGGCCUACCAAGGCGACGAUCCGUAACUGGUCUGAGAGGAUGAUCAGUCACACUGGAACUGAGACACGGUCCAGACUCCUACGGGAGGCAGCAGUGGGGAAUAUUGGACAAUGGGCGAAAGCCUGAUCCAGCCAUGCCGCGUGUGUGAAGAAGGUCUUCGGAUUGUAAAGCACUUUAAGUUGGGAGGAAGGGCAGUAAGUUAAUACCUUGCUGUUUUGACGUUACCAACAGAAUAAGCACCGGCUAACUUCGUGCCAGCAGCCGCGGUAAUACGAAGGGUGCAAGCGUUAAUCGGAAUUACUGGGCGUAAAGCGCGCGUAGGUGGUUCAGCAAGUUGGAUGUGAAAUCCCCGGGCUCAACCUGGGAACUGCAUCCAAAACUACUGAGCUAGAGUACGGUAGAGGGUGGUGGAAUUUCCUGUGUAGCGGUGAAAUGCGUAGAUAUAGGAAGGAACACCAGUGGCGAAGGCGACCACCUGGACUGAUACUGACACUGAGGUGCGAAAGCGUGGGGAGCAAACAGGAUUAGAUACCCUGGUAGUCCACGCCGUAAACGAUGUCGACUAGCCGUUGGGAUCCUUGAGAUCUUAGUGGCGCAGCUAACGCGAUAAGUCGACCGCCUGGGGAGUACGGCCGCAAGGUUAAAACUCAAAUGAAUUGACGGGGGCCCGCAC
Molecule: ribosomal RNA, 930 nt
Filed under: Enterococcus faecalis
Lineage: Bacteria; Bacillati; Bacillota; Bacilli; Lactobacillales; Enterococcaceae
Description: bacterial SSU rRNA
Rfam family: Bacterial small subunit ribosomal RNA
Source: RNAcentral